AGUGGCAAAGGAUGUGCGUUUGCUCAGACAACCAGGAUGUUGGCUUAGAAGCAGCCAUUCAUUUAAAGAGUGCGUAAUAGCUCACUGGUCGAGUGGACAUGCGCCGACAAUAUACGGGGCUAAGCAUUGUACCGAAGCGGCGGAUCAGUACUUUGUACUGGUGGUAGGAGAGCUUUCUGUACGGGUUGAAGCAGUUGGAUAACCAACUGUGGACUGUCCAGAAGUGAGAAUGCUGGCAUGAGUAACGAGAGACAUGUAAAAAACAUGUCCGCCGUAAACCCAAGGUUUCCUGGGCAAGGCUAAUCCUCCCAGGGUUAGGCGGGAGCUAAGGCAAGGCCGGAAGGCGUAGUCGAUGCACAACAGGUAGAAAUUCCUGUCCCUCCAAAAGAGCGUUAUCACCAAUGGGGUGACGGAGCAGGGUAGCUAGGCGGGGUUCUGGACGUCCCCGUGAUGGCACGUAGGCUGAGAAGUAGUGAAAUGCGCUUCUCGUGAUGGCUGAGGUGUCGGACGAAGCAAUUGAGUGAAGCUAGUAAGCCCAUACUUCCAAGAAAAACCUCUAGGGAGCUCUGAGGAGCCCGUACCGCAAACCGACACAGGUGGGUGGGUAGAGCAUACCAAGGCGAUCGGGAGAACUAUGGUUAAGGAACUCGGCAAAAUUGCCCCGUAACUUCGGGAGAAGGGGUGCCGGUUUCGGUGAAGGGAUUUACUCCCCGAGCUAAGAUCGGUCACAGUAAAUAGGUCCAAGCGACUGUUUAUCAAAAACACAGGACUCUGCUGAAGUCGUAAGACGACGUAUAGGGUCUGACGCCUGCCCGGUGCCGGAAGGUCACGAGGAGUUGUUAGCAUUAGCGAAGCAGCGAAUCUAAGCCCCGGUAAACGGCGGCCGUAACUAUAACGGUCCUAAGGUAGCGAAAUUCCUUGUCGGGUAAGUUCCGACCUGCACGAAAGGCGUAACGAUUUGGACGCUGUCUCAACCAUAGACCCGGUGAAAUUGCACUAGUCGUGAAGAUGCGACUUACCCGCAGAAGGACGAGAAGACCCCGUGAACCUUUACUGCAGCUUGACAUUGGCUGCCGGUUCGUCGUGUAGAGGAUAGGUGGGAGACUUUGAACCAGGGACGCCAGUCUCUGGGGAGUCACCCUUGGAAUACCACCCUCGACGUUCUGGCAUCCUAACUUGCGACCGUUAUCCGGCGUGAGGACCGUGUCAGGUGGGUAGUUUGACUGGGGCGGUCGCCUCCUAAAAUGUAACGGAGGCGCACGUAAGGUCUGCUCAGGAUGGUCGGCAACCAUCCUUUUGAGUGCAAGAGCAUAAGCAGGCUUGACUGCGAGGCCUACAAGCCGAGCAGAUGGGAAACCAGGUUCUAGUGAUCCGGCGGCUCAGAGUGGUAUGGCCGUCGCUCAACGGACAAAAGGUACUCCGGGGAUAACAGGCUGAUCUUCCCCAAGAGUCCACAUCGACGGGAAGGUUUGGCACCUCGAUGUCGGCUCAUCGCAUCCUGGGGCUGGAGCAGGUCCCAAGGGUUGGGCUGUUCGCCCAUUAAAGCGGUACGCGAGCUGGGUUCAGAACGUCGUGAGACAGUUCGGUCCCUAUCCUCUGUGGGCGUAGGAAAAUUGAGGGAGGCUGCCCCUAGUACGAGAGGACCGGGGUGGACGGACCUCCGGUGUACGGGUUGUUAACCAAUAGCAUUGCCCGGUAGCUGAGUCCGGUCGGGAUAACCGCUGAAAGCAUCUAAGCGGGAAGCCCAUCCCAAGAUGAGUUUUCCUUUCGGUAAGACCCCUUGUAGACUACGAGGUUGAUAGGAUGCAGAUGUAAGUGCUGUAAGGCAUUCAGUCGAGCAUUACUAAUCGGUCGAGCUCUUCUUUUC
This 1867-nucleotide ribosomal RNA is filed under the name human oral metagenome. Its description in RNAcentral is "bacterial LSU rRNA". It matches the Rfam family "Bacterial large subunit ribosomal RNA", at positions 1062 to 2925 of the family's 2925-position model. The record is from RNAcentral.